RNAcentral lists this ribosomal RNA (253 nucleotides) under uncultured bacterium. Its description in RNAcentral is "partial 16S ribosomal RNA". It matches the Rfam family "Bacterial small subunit ribosomal RNA", at positions 102 to 353 of the family's 1533-position model. The record is from RNAcentral.
ACGGGUGAGUAACGCGUGGGUAACCUGCCUUAUACAGGGGGAUAACACUCAGAAAUAGGUGCCAAUACCGCAUAAGCGCACAGCCUCACAUGAGGCAGUGUGAAAAACUCCGGUGGUACAGGAUGGUCCCGCGUCUGAUUAGCUAGUUGGCAGGGCAACGGCCUACCAAGGCGACGAUCAGUAGCCGACCUGAGAGGGUGACCGGCCACAUUGGGACUGAGACACGGCCCAAACUCCUACGGGAGGCAGCAUG